GGAGCUGUGGCUCAGUGGUAGAGCGCUCGCCUAGCAUGUGUGGGGCCCUGGGUUCGAACCACAGCACCA
Molecule: transfer RNA, 69 nt
Filed under: Marmota monax (woodchuck)
Lineage: Eukaryota; Metazoa; Chordata; Mammalia; Rodentia; Sciuridae
Rfam family: tRNA
About the family: Transfer RNA (tRNA) molecules are approximately 80 nucleotides in length.
Source: Rfam by way of RNAcentral